RNAcentral lists this long non-coding RNA (445 nucleotides) under Brassica napus (rape). RNAcentral describes it as "long non-coding RNA (BNAP_LNC013269)". Lineage: Eukaryota; Viridiplantae; Streptophyta; Magnoliopsida; Brassicales; Brassicaceae. The record is from RNAcentral.
UUUCACAUAAUUGGGGGAGAAAAAUAAAUAUUGCUUGUUAAGUACGAAAAGGAUAUUAUUGUCAUUUUGCUUCUAUUACUGACACAUUAAAGCCCACAUAAGUUUUGCCUUGGGUAGUUUGCUAAUUAACAAGUUCUUAUAGGAUUUUCAUUCGAUUCACUCUUUUUCUUAAAGGGUUUAUUUGUGAUAUAACUAAAAAAAAAGUAAAGUUAGUUUUGUAGAAAAAGGAUAGAAAGAGAUAAGAGAGAAUAGGAGAAAAUGUGUGAUUUUGAUUAUAUAAUGAAUAAGUGAGGUCCGCGCUACGCGCGAGAUUUGAUAGAUCGAGUUUUAUAAAAUAUUUAAUUUUGUGUAAAUAAUAUUUAUGUUAAGUUGGGUCUAGGUAUGAUUUUUGUUGUAUACACAAAAUUUCAAUUAUAUAACUAAAAAUGACCGAAUUCUUAGUAUU